RNAcentral lists this ribosomal RNA (253 nucleotides) under uncultured bacterium. Its description in RNAcentral is "partial 16S ribosomal RNA". It matches the Rfam family "Bacterial small subunit ribosomal RNA", at positions 524 to 776 of the family's 1533-position model. The record is from RNAcentral.
GACAGAGGGGGCAAGCGUUGUCCGGAAUUACUGGGCGUACAGCGCGCGCAGGCGGCUGGCGAGGUGCCGUGUGACAGAUCCUGGCUCAACCAGGAAGGGACAGGGUAGACCGGCCGGCUGGAGGCAGGGAGAGGGAUGUGGAAUACCCGGUGGAGCGGUGAAAUGCGUAGAGAUCGGGUGGAACACCAGGGGCGCAGGCGGCAUCCUGGCCCUGUACUGACGCUGAGGCGCGAGAGCGUGGGGAGCGAACCGG